AUUUCCUUAAUUUUAGGAGUGGAAGAAUAAUUCUGUAGUGGAAGAAUAAUUCUAUUGGACACAUGGCAUCAUUGUAUAGGUGGGAGUAGAAUAUUCUUCUUUGUAUGUAUUAUCCCUUGGCUGUAAUCGUGUAUAUAGGGAGUGCAGAGGAAGAGAUUUUUUGAGUUGAAAAUUUUCAUUGAAAUCACUUCAAUUUCUUUCUUGGUAUCAGAGCCAAAAAAUGGCUAACACCGAUUCCAGAGUUCAAGCUCCUUCAACCGAUUUGAGUUUUGCACCACCCAAAGAAGCUGCUGUGUAUCAAGCAUCACCGUUUGGGAUGAAUCUUACCCAAACUCCAUCAAUAAAACUUGACAAAAACAACUUUCUGUUGUGGCAAAAUAUGAUAAUGCCAAUAGUCAAAGGUCAUAAUCUUGAAGGCUACUUGCUGGGAACAAAACUAUGUCCACCGGAGUUCCUUAGAACUUAGACUACUACUGAAGGAAAAGAAACCAUAAAAGUGACCUAGAAUCCAGAUUACAGCAGGUGGAUAUCAACUGAUCAGCUGCUGUUGGGAUGGUUGUAUUCAUCCAUGACCCUUGAAUUGUAAUGAGGGUUAUGGGAUGCUCUAGCUCAAACAAGCUGUGGAAUGCAGUCAAAGAAAGCUUUGGAAUAUUGAAUAAAUCAAGGGUUACAUUUCUCACUAGGGAGUUGCAGAGAACUAGAAAAGGCUCUAUGACUAUGGAUCAGUACCUUACCAUUGUGAAGCAGUUGGCUGACAAUCUACAAAUAGCUAGAAAAACUGUGGAUCAUAGUGAUCUUGUAACCCAAGUUCUUGCAGGACUAGAUGAAGAAUACACACCAGUUAUGGUGCAGAUUAAUAGCAGGGAUAAUAUUUCAUGGUAUGAGCUCUCAUAAGUUCUUAUGACAUUUGAAAGCAGGCUUGAACAUCUUAAUCAAGUUAAGAAUGGCUUAUUAUCCUUGAAUAUCAGUCAAUCAAGUGUGCAAUUAGCUCAAAGGUCUGGAUCAGGUGGUGGAAGAACCUUCAGAAUGGCUAAUAGUGGAAGGUCCAUAAACUUCAGAGGAAGAACAAGAGGCAGAGGAAGAGUAGGCAGGACAAGUAAAAAUCGAGGACCCUGUCAAAUUUGUGGAUUGAAUAAUCAUUUAGCUAGCUAGUGCUUCAAUAGAUAUGACGAAAGAUUUAUGGGAAGUAGACCUAGCAACUAGACUCAUCAGAACAACAACCCAACUGCCACUGCCUAUGUAGCCUCACCGAGCACAGUUGAGGAUCCAACCUGGUCUGCAGAUUCUGGAGCAAGUAGUCAUGUAACAGCUGACAAAGGUAACCUGGCCAUUGCAAAGAAGUAUGGAGGUAAGGAGAAAUUGAUUGUUGGCAAUGGAAAUUCACUGCACAUUGCUCCUAUUGGUAAAAGGAAUGUUUCCACAUUGAGUAAUAUGUCUCUUACCUUGAACCAAUUGUUGCAUGUGCCUGCCAUUAAGAAAAAUUUAAUUAGUGUCUCUCAAUUGACAAAUGACAAUAGCGUAUUCAUGGAAUUUUAUCCUAACUAUUGUGUUGUUAAGGACUUGGAAACGAAGAGGAUCUUGCUACAGGAGACGCUUAGAGAUGGAUUGUAUCAGCUGAAGUUGACAAGCUCCAAGUCUGAACUCGUAGCCCAAGAGUCAAGCCACCAAAAUAAUUCCUGUUUCACAAAUUUCUCAGUAAGUUCAAGUUGUCAUGAGUCAAACAAAAGUGUCAAGUUACCAGAGUCAGAGGUAGAUGUCUAGCAUAAGAGAUUAGGCCAUCCUUCAAACCUUGUAUUGAGUCAAGUAUUAAAGUCUUGUAAUAGAGUUGCAAAAUUUAAUGAAAAUCCAACUUUCUGUGAAGCAUGUCAGUUUGGCAAGUCUCAUGCGUUACCUUUUAACUUGUCUUCAUCACAUGCAUCAAAUGUGUUAGACCUUAUACACACAAUGUUUGGGGACCAGCACCACAGAAUUCUA
RNAcentral lists this long non-coding RNA (1974 nucleotides) under Olea europaea subsp. europaea. Lineage: Eukaryota; Viridiplantae; Streptophyta; Magnoliopsida; Lamiales; Oleaceae. The record is from RNAcentral.